UAGAUAGGGCGAACGAACCCGAUACCGGUGCGAGCAAGUAGGAGGAGAAUUUCAAUCGAAGUACAGAUUUUUCUUGAAAUCGAGGAUAAUGAUGUUAUUACCAGCUGAUUAAGGAGGAGUAGUGUAAGUGUCAGAUGGGUACGAACGUCAUCUUGUGACAGCAUCACCUUUGUUUGGCUAAAGUACAAGAGAACUGCAGCAUGUAAGACUACAUGUACAUCGACUUUGAAUAAUCUACCUGGUAUAUCCUCAAAAAGGCAACUCAAAUACAGAAAGUGCAUAUAAUUUGGAAAAGAGACCAUCAAUCCACUGGGGGGUAUCGCAUGAAAGCAAUGAUUAUAGAAUAUUGUAAGGUUGGAGGAUCGAGUUAUAGUACAACAGGCAG
This is a long non-coding RNA of Saccostrea echinata, 385 nucleotides long. RefSeq lists it as uncharacterized. The transcript has 4 exons. The record is from RefSeq and is a predicted model, not a curated record. NCBI's taxonomy places the organism in Eukaryota, Metazoa, Mollusca, Bivalvia, Ostreida, Ostreidae.